Oryctolagus cuniculus (rabbit) is the source of this 2530-nucleotide non-coding RNA. Lineage: Eukaryota; Metazoa; Chordata; Mammalia; Lagomorpha; Leporidae. The record is from RefSeq and is a predicted model, not a curated record.
UUUUUCUUUUUUUUUUUUUGACAGACAGAGUGGACAGUGAGAGAGAGAGACAGAGAGAAAGGUCUUCCUUUGCCGUUGGUUCACCCUCCAAUGGCCGCCGCGGCCGGCGCGCUGCGGCUGGCGCACCGCGCUGAUCCGAUGGCAGGAGCCAGGAGCCAGGUGCUUUUCCUGGUCUCCCAUGGGGUGCAGGGUCCAAGCACCUGGGCCAUCCUCCACUGCACUCCCUGGCCACAGCAGAGGGCUGGCCUGGAAGAGGGGCAACUGGGACAGAAUCCAGCGCCCCGACCGGGACUAGAACCCGGUGUGCCGGCGCCGCUAGGCGGAGGAUUAGCCUAGUGAGCCGCGGCGCCGGCCCGAUUUCCUGCUAUUUCAAUGGCUCUCUGGCUUCCUUCAACUGAACUUCUGGUAUUACAAUAGUCUGUGUACCCCCAAAUCAAUUUCAAUCCUUUUACUUUUAGUCUAAGGCCAAAAUUAGCCAAGAAAUUAUUCCAAUUAAACCACUUCUUUUCAACAAGAAAGUCAGUCUUCCUAAAAAAAGUUGUUUUCCCUAGAAUUUUCAACAUAUUUCUACACUUGAAAUUUAGAUUCUGCAUGCUUUUCCUAUUAUUCUUUAGUUCUUCCUGCACUAUUCUCUGCUUUCUUUCUUCUUACACGCGUCUCUGUGAUGUAUUAUAACAAUUGUUGGCAUGGCAACCGACACCGUGACAUCUCCAGCCAGCUAUUUGUCUUCUACUUAGUAAACUUCAGUAGGUAGCUGGCUCCAGACAGUAAAACCAGGAGUGGACUUGUGCCAAGUAGCCUGAAGGUGCUAGGAAAAUAUUGAGCUCAUUUAUUGCCAGAUGAGGCAGUUCAGUGUCAAAGAAGCAAGUUUGCUUGUUUAAGGUCAAAGUGGAAUGCAUCUGUGUAGGGACUGUCGCCCAUAUUUUCUGUUUCCAAGAUUGACGCUUCCACCACAGAAGGCCUCAGCUUUGAUUUUAUUCUGGUGACAGUGUGCUCAUCUAAGAAAUUAACCAUCACAGCUAUCCUUGUUUAUAAUGGUCAUUAUUUCACGAUGCUGGGUCAUGGACCAUUUCUGAAGUCACCGCUUGUGGUGCGGUCUGGGAGCCAGCUGGAGACACGAGGAGUUAACCUGUCCAUGAUCAAGCAUGACAAAUGCCUCUCCUCCUGUUGUUCAGAUGGAUGAUCCUCAGCACUUACAGGCUAGUUUGUCCGCAUUCCUGCUUCCUAAUAAAUUAGCUGCACCAAAGUCCUGGCAUCAAGGACCCCCAAAAAGACAUGGAGAACAAAUACUUUUAAAUCACUUUACAAAGGCAUUUAUCACUGACGGUUGAAUUUGUUUCCUUUCACUGUAGUGAGAUCAGCAUUGCAAAUUAUUCAUUUAUGACCCCAAUAAGAAGUUUAUAUACAUUUGACCAAUAUAAAAACUGAGGUCAGAAUGGGUGAAAGACAGCUUUUCCAUCUGAGACCACGAUUGAGUCAUUGUGAAAGAGGAUGUGUGAAACGAGACCACUGGAAUCUUCAGCCACAAGUGAGUUCUGAGGCAGAACAGGUUUGGGAAAAUGUACAUGUGUUGACUGAGGAGCUGGAGAUUAAAACUAUCCAUGCUCCUGCACCUGCAUGGGAGACCAGGAGGAAGCACCUGGCUCCUGGCUUUGGAUCAGCAUAGCUCCAGCCUUAGCGGCCAUUUAGGGGGUGAACCAACGGAAGGAAGACCUUUCUCUCUGUCUCUAUAUCUCACUGUCUAACUCUGUCAAAUAAAAAAAAAACUAUCCACGCUGUGUAUCUUUUAGAGGGCCUUCGGUGUCACUAAGGGUAUAUAAAACCCAGCUUGAGGGUUAAUUAUCUAAAAUACUCUGCACACAUAUACGUGUGAGUACAUACAUAUGCACACACACACCAAAGCAAAACAAAACCAAACACAAAUGCAGUAAGUAUAAAUGUAGGAACAAUAUUCUCUACGACCCAAGGGAAACUGAAGUGAAAGUUGUGAAAGGGAUUUGCUGAAGGUACUGAGAUGACUUCCAGCGUGGGGCUCUGAGUUUUUAAAACUCUGAAAAAGAACAUGAUAACACGAAUUCAUCAUCAUUCCUAAGCAAUUAACAUCUAUUGAGUGCUUUCUGCAUGCUGGGGUUUAUUUUAGGAACUUGCAUAUCCAUCAUCUCAUGAAAACCUCAUACUAACUGUUCUGUGGAGUAGGAAUAGUCAUUCCAACUUUUUAAAAAAGAUUUAUUUAUUUACUUGAAAGAGUUACACAGAGAGAGACGAAGAGGCAGAGAGAAAUAGGUCUUCCAUGCCCUGGUUCACUCCUCAAUUGGCUGCAACAGCUGGAGCUUUGUAUAUCCAAAGCCAGGAGCCAGGAGCCUCCUCUGGGCCUUCCCAUGUGGGUGCAGGGGCCCAAGGACUUGAGCCAUCUUCCACUGCUUUCCCAGGCCAUAGCAGAGAGCUGGAUAGGAAGUGGAGCAGCUGGGACUCAAACCAGUGCCCAUAUGGGAUGCCAGCACCACAGGUGGUGGCUCUACCAACUAUGCCA